RNAcentral lists this ribosomal RNA (348 nucleotides) under uncultured bacterium. RNAcentral's name for it is "bacterial SSU rRNA". It matches the Rfam family "Bacterial small subunit ribosomal RNA", at positions 29 to 403 of the family's 1533-position model. The record is from RNAcentral.
AGCGAACGCUGGCGGCAGGCUUAACACAUGCAAGUCGAGCGGGCGUAGCAAUACGUCAGCGGCAGACGGGUGAGUAACACGUGGGAACGUACCUUUUGGUUCGGAACAACACAGGGAAACUUGUGCUAAUACCGAAUAAGCCCUUACGGGGAAAGAUUUAUCGCCGAAAGAUCGGCCCGCGUCUGAUUAGCUUGUUGGUGAGGUAACGGCUCACCAAGGCACGAUCAGUAGCGGUCUGAGAGGAUGAUCAGCCACACUGGGACUGAGACACGGCCCAGACUCCUACGGGAGGCAGCAGUGGGGAAUAUUGGACAAUGGGGGCGAACCCUGAUCCAGCCAUGCCGCGUG